This 261-nucleotide long non-coding RNA is filed under the name Gossypium barbadense (sea-island cotton). RNAcentral describes it as "long non-coding RNA (GBAR_LNC006349)". The record is from RNAcentral. Lineage: Eukaryota; Viridiplantae; Streptophyta; Magnoliopsida; Malvales; Malvaceae.
GAUAUAAGAUCCUUAGAUAACUCAAGGAUGAAGCAAGGAACCCGCACCACCAUCGGGGCAAUCACCACUUCCACCAACGCCACUGCCAAGACCACCAAUUCCACCUCCUAAACCUCCGAGACCUCCAGUGGCACCGCCCAGGCCGCCUAAACCAGGGGAAUCACCAAGUCCGCCAAGUCCACCAAUUCCGCCCCCAAGGCCGCCAAGGCCACCACCAACUCCACCUCCACCUCCAAGACCGGUUCCUGCAAAGCCACCAAC